AGUGAAUAGAUACCCUGGUAGUCCACGCCGUAAACGAUGUUCACUAGGUGUUGGGGGUAUUGACCCCCUCAGUGCCGCAGCUAAACGCAUUAAGUGAACCGCCUGGGGAGGUACGGUCGCAAGACUAAAACUACAAAGGAAUUGACGGGGGCCCGGCACAAGCGGUGGAGCAUGUGGUUUAAAUUCGAUGCAACGCGAAGAACCUUACCUGGGCUUGACAUCCCGGGAAUCCCCUGGAAACAGGGGAGUGCCCUUCGGGGAACCCGGAGACAGGUGCUGCAUGGCUGUCGUCAGCUCGUGUCGUGAGAUGUUGGGUUAAGUCCCGCAACGAGCGCAACCCUUGUCUUUAAUUGCCAGCAUUCAGUUGGGCACUUUAAAGAACUGCCGGUUUUAAGCCGGAGGAAGGUGGGGAUGACGUCAAGUCCUCAUGGCCUUUAUGCCCAGGGGCUACACACGUGCUACAAUGGGUGGUACAAAGAGCAGCAAUCUCGCGAGAGUGAGCAAAUCUCAAAAAGCCNU
Molecule: ribosomal RNA, 519 nt
Filed under: uncultured bacterium
Lineage: Bacteria
Description: bacterial SSU rRNA
Rfam family: Bacterial small subunit ribosomal RNA
Source: RNAcentral